GAUGAACGCUGGCGGCGUGCUUAAUACAUGCAAGUCGAACGAUGAAGCUCAGCUUUCUGUGUUGUUUAGUUGCCAACGGGUGAGUAACUCGUGAGUAACCAGCCCUUCUCUCUGACUUAGGCAACUUCAACUAGCUCUAGUACCUACCAGAUGCGCCUUCCGCAUGGUUGGUUUUGUAAAAAUUGAUCGGUUUUGGGUGGACUCGCGGCCUAUCCGCUUGUUGGUAAGUUAAUGGCUCACCAAGGCGAAGCCGGGUAGCCGGCCUGAGAGGGUGACCGGCCACAAUGGGACUGAGACACGGACCAGACUGCUACGGGAGGCAGCAGGGGGGAAUAUUGCACAAUGGGGGAAAGCCUGAUGCAGCGACGCCGCGAGAGGGAUGACGGGCUUCGGGUUGUAAACAUCUUUCAGUAGGGAAGAAGAGAAAGUGACGGUACCUGAAGAAGAAGCACCGGCUAACUACGUG
This 466-nucleotide ribosomal RNA is filed under the name uncultured bacterium. RNAcentral's name for it is "partial 16S ribosomal RNA". It matches the Rfam family "Bacterial small subunit ribosomal RNA", at positions 28 to 507 of the family's 1533-position model. The record is from RNAcentral.